AAGGUCUUGGCUUAAUUAAAGUACCUGGGUUGCAUUCAGGUGAUGUUGGAUAAAACCCUGCAGAUCUUA
RNAcentral lists this transfer RNA (69 nucleotides) under Hynobius yangi (Kori salamander). RNAcentral describes it as "tRNA-Ala". It matches the Rfam family "tRNA". Rfam says of the family: Transfer RNA (tRNA) molecules are approximately 80 nucleotides in length. Lineage: Eukaryota; Metazoa; Chordata; Amphibia; Caudata; Hynobiidae. The record is from RNAcentral.